This is a non-coding RNA of Callorhinus ursinus (northern fur seal), 1526 nucleotides long. NCBI's taxonomy places the organism in Eukaryota, Metazoa, Chordata, Mammalia, Carnivora, Otariidae. The record is from RefSeq and is a predicted model, not a curated record.
AGAGAGCUGCCGCCGCGGAGCCUCCUUCUUUCCUCCCUCUGAUUCCGGGCUGUCAUGGCGACCCCCAACAACCUGACCCCCACCAACUGCAGCUGGUGGCCCAUCUCGGCGCUGGAGAGCGAUGCGGCCAAGCCGGUGGAGGCCCCCGACGCGCUCGAGGCGGCCAGCCCCGCCCAUUGGCCCAAGGAGAGCCUUGUUCUGUACCACUGGACCCAGUCCUUCAGCUCACAGAAGGUGCGGCUCGUGAUUGCAGAGAAGGGCCUGGUGUGUGAGGAGCGGGACGUGAGCCUGCCACAGAGCGAGCACAAGGAGCCCUGGUUCAUGCGGCUCAACCUGGGGGAGGAGGUGCCCGUCAUCAUCCACCGGGACAAUAUCAUCAGCGACUACGACCAGAUCAUCGACUACGUGGAGCGAACCUUUACAGGAGAGCACGUGGUGGCCCUGAUGCCUGAGGCGGGCAGCCCUCAGCACGCAAGGGUGCUGCAGUACCGGGAGCUGCUGGGCGCGCUGCCCAUGGACGCCUACACGCACGGCUGCAUCCUGCACCCUGAGCUCACCACUGACUCCAUGAUCCCCAAGUACGCCACGGCCGAGAUCCGCAGACAUUUAGCCAACGCCACCACAGACCUCAUGAAAUUGGACCAUGAAGAGGAGCCCCAGCUCUCUGAGCCCUACCUUUCCAAACAGAAGAAGCUCAUGGCCAAGAUCCUGGAGCACGAUGAUGUGAGCUACCUGAAGAAGAUCCUUGGGGAGCUGGCCAUGGUGCUGGACCAGAUAGAGGCGGAGCUGGAGAAGAGGAAGCUGGAAAACGAGGGGCAAAAGUGUGAACCAUGGCUCUGCGGCUGUGCCUUCACCCUCGCCGACGUUCUCCUGGGAGCUACCCUGCACCGCCUCAAGUUCCUGGGACUGUCCAAGAAGUACUGGGAAGACGGCAGCCGGCCCAACCUGCAGUCCUUCUUUGAGAGGGUCCAGAAGCGCUUGGCCUUCCGGAAGGUCCUCGGCGACAUCCACACCACUCUGCUGUCGGCUGUCAUCCCCAAUGCGUUCCGGCUGGUCAAGCGGAAACCCCCAUCUUUCUUUGGGGCGUCCUUCCUCAUGGGCUCCCUGGGUGGGAUGGGCUACUUUGCCUACUGGUACCUCAAGAAAAAAUACAUCUAGAGCCAGGCCUGGGCUUGGUACCUGUUGGUGUCUCUGUCCUGUGUGACCCCCAGCAAGCUCUCAGUAACGCACUGUCUCAUGAACUUGGACAGCCACUCCCUGCCCUGUUUGGAGUAAUUCUAUCGUCAAUGUGAAAACAUUCCAUAGUUUAGAGGUAGACGUUGCCAAUGCCGUGAGUUGAGGCCACAGCUCUACUAAAGGAGAGAAAGAGUGAGUGUGAGAGAGAGAGAGGGAGAGAGAGAACAGAAACAAAACACGAAUACCUUUUCUUUUGAUUCAAGGUCUCAAGAUGGAACUGGGGGGACUGGUUAGGAUCUGAGGGAACUCUUCCACAGGACAAAGCCAACAUCAACACUGACUCUUCUAAG